AUUCUAGAACCUCUUUUUUUUCAGGUACAACUAUCAUUCGAAAAGCCAGAUGUUAGAGUCCAGAUGCCUACCAUUGAACGGCUGUCCAUGUCAAGAUAUUUCUACCUCUUUCCUGGCAAUUGAAAAUCAAAGCUGUUGACAGGGAAUUACAGGCCGUCCUGCCCUUCUUUACCAACUUCUAGAAGCCCCUUUACCAGUAUGGCACACCUAUUUAACCAUUUGUACUUAAAUAAAAAAAAAAACACAUAAA
Myotis davidii is the source of this 250-nucleotide long non-coding RNA. RefSeq lists it as uncharacterized. The record is from RefSeq and is a predicted model, not a curated record. The transcript is spliced from 2 exons. Lineage: Eukaryota; Metazoa; Chordata; Mammalia; Chiroptera; Vespertilionidae.